RNAcentral lists this unclassified non-coding RNA (384 nucleotides) under Melitaea cinxia (Glanville fritillary). RNAcentral describes it as "misc RNA ENSMCXG00005001403.1". The record is from RNAcentral. Lineage: Eukaryota; Metazoa; Arthropoda; Insecta; Lepidoptera; Nymphalidae.
CUCAAUUCUCAUGUGUGGUUAGUAUGGGUGAAAUCUGAAUUCGAGCUGAGGUAGUGUAGCCCCUUAAGAAACGACAAAAGACCCAUGGUAAAAAUAUGAAACAAUCAAGGGAAUUAAUCGUGUUAACAAACAACAGUAACUCUUAGCAAUGACAAUGACACCUGGGAGAAGACGGGGGAGGGGGAGGGGGUUUACCAGGCAACGUCUCUACCGAGAAAGAAAUAAAUAUAUUUUAAGCGUCACGGUAAACAUUUUUAAGGUGUAAACACCAAUCUAUCUUUGACACACUAAUUGUCAUUGAUAGCAUUUAAAUUUAGAGAAUACAAAAAAAAAAAACGCGAUAAACCAAUCAGAAAUAAGCAUAUAUGAAUAAAAACUACCAGC